AACGAACGCUGGCGGCAUGCCUAACACAUGCAAGUCGAACGAACCCUCCGGGUCUUUUGGCGCCCGGUUUCGUCACGCGUGGGAACCUGCACUUAUGUUUGGCAUACCUCUCCGAAAGGGGUGCUAAUACCGGAUAAUAUCUUCUGCCCAAUGAUCUAUUGCCUUUGGAGGGGCCCGCGUUGGAUUCGCUCGUUGUUAGGGUAAUAGCCUACGAAGGCGAGCAUUCAUAGCUGGUUAGAGAGGAAGCUCAGCGACACUGGGACUGAGACACGGCCCAGAAUCUUACGGGAGGGGGGAGUGGGGAAUAGUGGAAAAUGGGGGAAGGCCAGAUCGAGCUAGGAUGGGAGAGUGAUGAAGGCAGUAGGGAAGUAAAGCGUUAUUAACCGGGAUGAUAAUGACGGUACCGGGAGAAUAAGCUCCGGCUAACUACGUG
RNAcentral lists this ribosomal RNA (433 nucleotides) under uncultured bacterium. RNAcentral describes it as "partial 16S ribosomal RNA". It matches the Rfam family "Bacterial small subunit ribosomal RNA", at positions 29 to 507 of the family's 1533-position model. The record is from RNAcentral.